UACCUAGUGGCGCAACUGGUUAGCCCGCGGUACUUCUAGAAUAGUGUUGGUUGUGAGUUCGAUCCUCACUUGGGGAA
Non-coding RNA from Trichonephila clavata, 77 nucleotides. Lineage: Eukaryota; Metazoa; Arthropoda; Arachnida; Araneae; Nephilidae. The record is from the annotation of a GenBank genome assembly.